UUGAAUCCGCGAGGACCAUCUCGCAAGGCUAAAUACUAACCAGUGACCGAUAGUGAACCAGUACCGUGAGGGAAAGGUGAAAAGAACCCCGGGAGGGGAGUGAAAGAGAACCUGAAACCGUGUGCCUACAAGUAGUCAGAGCCCGUUAACGGGUAAUGGCGUGCCUUUUGUAGAAUGAACCGGCGAGUUGCGUUAGUCAGCAAGGUUAAGUCAGAAAAGACGGAGCCGCAGCGAAAGCGAGUCUGAAGAGGGCGAGCAGUUGGCUGACGCAGACCCGAAACCAAGUGACCUACCCAUGACCAGGUUGAAGGCGCGGUAAAACGCGCUGGAGGACCGAACCCACGUAAGUUGAAAAUUGCGGGGAUGAGUUGUGGGUAGCGGUGAAAUUCCAAACGAACUUGGAGAUAGCUGGUUCUCUCCGAAAUAGCUUUAGGGCUAGCCUCGCAAAGAGGAUGCUGGAGGUAGAGCUCUGUUUGGACUAGGGGCCCGUCAAGGGUUACUGAAUUCAGAUAAACUGCGAAUUCCAGACAUUUAUGUGCGGGAGUCAGACUGCGAGUGAUAAGAUCCGUAGUCGAAAGGGAAACAGCCCAGAUCACCAGUUAAGGUCCCAAAAUUCAUGCUAAGUGGAAAAGGAUGUGGAGUUGCGCAGACAACUAGGACGUUGGCUCAGAAGCAGCCAUCAUUCAAAGAGUGCGUAAUAGCUCACUAGUCGAGUGACGCCGCGCCGAAAAUUUACCGGGGCUAAGCAUGAUACCGAAACUGUGGAUGUGCAUUUAUGCACGUGGUAGGAGAGCGUUCUAGCGGCGGUGAAGCAUGAC
Molecule: ribosomal RNA, 818 nt
Filed under: Lactobacillus delbrueckii subsp. lactis
Lineage: Bacteria; Bacillati; Bacillota; Bacilli; Lactobacillales; Lactobacillaceae
Description: partial 23S ribosomal RNA
Rfam family: Bacterial large subunit ribosomal RNA
Source: RNAcentral